CUGCCAUUAAAGAGAAGCUGGAGGAUGCUGAUGAACGUUUGGGAGCUGACAUAGUGCAGAAGGCUUUGGUGGCACCAGCUGCGCUUAUUGCGCAGAACGCUGGAAUCGAAGGAGAAGUGGUAGUGGAGAAGAUUAUGUUCAGUGAAUGGGAGAUAGGG
Molecule: long non-coding RNA, 158 nt
Organism: Brassica oleracea var. oleracea
Lineage: Eukaryota; Viridiplantae; Streptophyta; Magnoliopsida; Brassicales; Brassicaceae
Exons: 2
Source: RefSeq, a predicted model, not a curated record